CCUUAACCCCGAUAGUAGCGACUACCCCACAGUAAAGUGGGAGAGUUGGGGGAUUGUGAAUUGGCGAACGCUGGAACGAGGAGUAUGAGCGGAUAGCGGGAUUAAGC
Molecule: unclassified non-coding RNA, 107 nt
Filed under: Epilithonimonas hungarica
Lineage: Bacteria; Pseudomonadati; Bacteroidota; Flavobacteriia; Flavobacteriales; Weeksellaceae
Description: Chryseobacterium hungaricum Flavo-1 RNA
Source: RNAcentral